Molecule: ribosomal RNA, 443 nt
Filed under: uncultured bacterium
Lineage: Bacteria
Description: partial 16S ribosomal RNA
Rfam family: Bacterial small subunit ribosomal RNA
Source: RNAcentral
CCUACGGGUGGCAGCAGUGGGGAAUAUUGGGCAAUGGGCGCAAGCCUGACCCAGCAACGCCGCGUGAAGGAAGAAGGCUUUCGGGUUGUAAACUUCUUUUCUCAGGGACGAAGCAAGUGACGGUACCUGAGUAAUAAGCGACCGCUAACUACGUGACAGAAGUCGCGGUAAUACGUAGGUGGCAAUCGUUAUCCGGAUUUACUGGGUGUAAAGGGCGUGUAGGCGGGGACGCAAGUCAGAUGUGAAAGCCACGGGCUCAACCUGAGACCUGCAUUUGAAACUGUGUUUAUGGAGUACUGGGGAGGCAGACGGAAUUCCUGGUGUAGCGGUGAAAUGCGUAGAUAUUAGGAGGAACACCGAUGGCGAAGGCGGUCUGCUGGACAGCAACUGACGCUGAGGCGCGAAAGCGUGGGGAGCAAACAGGAUUAGAUACCCUUGUAGUC